UGUGGGAGCGAGCUUGCUCGCGAUGGCGUCAGGUCAGUCAGUAUCCAUAUUGACUGGUACACCGCUAUCGCGAGCAAGCUCGCUCCCACA
This 90-nucleotide unclassified non-coding RNA is filed under the name Pseudomonas sp. NFACC04-2. The record is from RNAcentral. Lineage: Bacteria; Pseudomonadati; Pseudomonadota; Gammaproteobacteria; Pseudomonadales; Pseudomonadaceae.